This 367-nucleotide unclassified non-coding RNA is filed under the name Hevea brasiliensis (rubber tree). The record is from RNAcentral. Lineage: Eukaryota; Viridiplantae; Streptophyta; Magnoliopsida; Malpighiales; Euphorbiaceae.
AACCUUGUUUUCCCACUCAAAUUCAGCCCACAUAGUUCUAAAAGCAGCCUCACUGCAAACAGCAGGAGAGAUGUAAUCCAUGAUGUCAAUAUGGAUAUCAUUGAGCACAACAACAGUUCGCUCGAGCACAUUUGAAGACUCAUAGACAAUGUUACCAAAAAUCACUCCAGUCUCGGUGGAAGACACCUUGAUAUUAGCUUUUAUCUGCUUGCUUGACUCAGGAGCUAUAGUAUAAUUCUGUGGACGCUCAACGAGCUUAAGAUCACCCAUGGUUGCCAGUUCCAAACACAAAUUCUGAAGUGUCUCUUUGGUUCGAUUUAUCACGGUAACAUCUAGGACAAUGUCAUAAUGAUGAACUGUUACAUAU